RNAcentral lists this long non-coding RNA (504 nucleotides) under Homo sapiens (human). RNAcentral describes it as "HSALNT0380473". Lineage: Eukaryota; Metazoa; Chordata; Mammalia; Primates; Hominidae. The record is from RNAcentral.
UCCUGGGAUUACAGGUGUGAGCCACUGCCCCUGGACCACAGGUCCUUGAAGUGUUUUCACAUAGAUAUUUCACAAGAGCCAUUUCAGAAUUGAGAACAUUUGGCGUGCACUCUUCCUCUUUUGGUCCCACAGUUUUUAUGUGUCCUACUUGAAAUUAUGUUUGCUCCCGUUUCAAUUGUAAUAUUGCACUUACUCAUUAGUUUUUAGUUUGAACUCUCCUGCGAGGUCUAAUGUAGAGUUUGGACAAGAACACAGAUUCAUAAUAAACCUACCCAGUCAAUUUGGUAUAAAGGCUUAGAAGGUGGAACUGGCCACAUUUUGAAUUGGAGGUAAGGAUCAGGAAUGCUAAUGGAGAGACAUAGGAUUUUCUUAUGGAAACAAGAAACAAAUAACCUCUGGGCAGUAUUAGAGCCCAGAGAGUGAUAAGCCUCUUCUAACUUCAAUAUUCUAUGUACAAAUUCACAAGACUUUUUUUUUCUUUCUUUUUUUUGAGACGGAGUCUCA